CUCUGUUCUUGUGCAAGCAUCCAUGAAAGUCUGUGCAAUGACUGACAAGGAAGCAUCCACUACUUCAUGAACGUGAACAUCAAAGAUGAAGUGGGGAUUUUUCAGUAUGUUUACCCAGAAUCUAAGAGGCAAGCUGUUUGUUUUCCAGAUGUGAAUGGUAUCUUCAUCCUUGAUGUCAUGUUUUUCUGCUUGCUCAUCAAGAAAGUCAAAGAAGUAUUUCACAGCUGGUGGCACUACAUGGUUUGAGUUGAGCACACUAUGAAAGAAGUCAUCUACAAACUGCUGAAGUGUUCCCUUCACAGACAGAAGUCUUGUCAGGUAGAUUUCUGUAAUAGCUUUGGUUCUUUCUUUUUCUUUCACACUGCCUCUCUUCGAUUUGCUUUCAUCAAUUUCAUCUACGGGCCGGACUAGGUGCCAGACCUUAUUUUCAUCUUCCAGAAGCGCGUGCCUUUCCCCUGGGACAUCUUGCUGAUUAUCCUCUGGCUGCUGGGAAAUUCCCAUUUUUGAUAAGAUGAGUGUGGCACCAUCUCGGACAUUAUAAUGCAUCAGUGUGUUGAUACGUUUCCAUCUGCCAUCUCUUUGGGAAGUUAAAUCCAAGUCUGAGAGGAUCUGUGCAGUAGAACCUGGACGCCACUCAAGAGCUACACUCUCAGCUUUUGGCCACUGAGAGCACGGCAGAUUUCGAUAGACUUGGUCUAUUAUCUUUUCCUUUACUUGCGAUAUAGUAUCACAGUUCAGCACUUUCACAGGUGUAGAAUCAGUUCCUCCAUCUUGUACAUACACAUUUACUGUCAACUGUGUAUACUCUACAUCAUCUCCUAGUAAGCCUGUAUCAUUCAGUGUAUACUUGGCUUUCUUCAGUACAGCAUCCACUGGACCUUUUUCUACCUGGUGUUUGAUGGCUUUGAACAAUUUGUAAAGAGGCUCCCCAGCAUUGUCCUUGAGGUACUGAUAUAAACAAAUAGACAUCCAGUUAGACAACAUUCUCUCAACAACUGUUUCAGAUCUUCUUAGCAUCAACUUUGGGUUUUUGGCCACCACGUACUGCUCCAUCAGUUCUAAGAACAGAGUCCUCAUGAUGUCAGUAUAGUAUUCUAGUUUUCCAUGUAAAGCGACCGUCAGUAGAGAGGCAAAAUACACUUUAGCUCGAGCAGAGAACUCCCUUUGGUUUUCCAGAGUGUGAAUAAAAUUAAUGAGAAAUGAUUUGCUAUUGAGGAGGUUGGAGAACUGGUUCAGAGCCUGCUCCACAGUCUGCCGCCGAGCCUCUGGAAUGUCCAGCUUCCCUGUAAUCAUCACGUCCUUCUCCCCAUCUUUGGAAGGCAAGAAGAAGACUCUGUCUGUGUACGUUUUGUAGUCCAGUACUGGGAUUCCAGCUUCGUUUACAUCAUUUGUCUGAUCCUCCAUCUCUAUCAUUAGAUCUGUGAAUUCCUUCUUGCACCGGUCUCUGACACUCUCCUCCAGGCCUUCAAGUUGUGAUUUAAUUUUUUCAUACUCUCGUUCUGCUUGCUGGCUCUUCCGUCUGUAACAGAUGAUAGAAAUGAUGAUGAUUGCUAUCAUAGGAAUAAGUACCAGUGGCAAAAUAAGAUUCAGGGGGAUGUCACUCACACGUGUAUCAUAUUCCACCCUUCCAAGGACCCAUUCACGGAGUCCAAAUUUCACAAUGAAUUCUGGAAGGUUAUUGAUCAUAUCCCUCUUCUGCCUUUUCUUUGGUUGUGGCUGUACUUCAGGUGGCUCACAAUAUAAGUCUGUUUCGGUCAGUGUUUUUAUGUUGCAUGGCUCAUCACCUACAAAAGCCUGGGCCUCAUCUAUCGUCAUGGCUUUGUUCAGGUUACUGCCCUUUGCAUUUAUAAGUUUGUUGACUUGCUUUUUGAUGCCAUCUGUGAAAUUUUCAAAAGUCGGGUCUGCAACAUAUGUAAAUGAAUGGCUCUCAUUUUUUACAACCAACUGAUAAUGAUCCAUUAGAAUAAUAGUGGUAAUGUUAUAGUUUUCUGGAUCUUCCAAUACUGGUAGUGAAGAAAAAACCACUGUGGUUUCAUUAAGUCUUGUAACACAGUUUCCAACAAACGUUUUGGAGCUCAGUUUGCCUGCUUCUGGACGCUCCGCAUGUACCAUCAGUGAGAAACUCUGGAUGAGUUCAAACCCAGUUCCAGUUACCGUAAUAUUUCUCCCUCCACUGCUGAAGCUAUUUAUGGGCUUGAAUUUGGUGACAGUAGGAUUCUCACUGUAUGAAAAAUGCACUGGUACAACAAUUUUUGUUCCCCCAUAGUGCAUUGUGACUCCAACAGCUUCAACCUUGCUAUUACGUCCCGUAAUGCAAACAAUCUCAUCUCCAAAUUCAGUGACAUUGCAAGGCUGGCUACCGAGAAGAACACGAACAUCCUUCUUGGAACCAGUUGCCAGGUUCAUACCAGUGAUGGUAAGUGUGGUUCCACCUGCUUGUGGACCACUUUGAGGUCUUAUGCCAGUAGGGUGAGGGUCCUGGUAUGUAAACUGCACAUCACUUGGUGAUUUACCUAAUUUUCCAUUGAUGUUAACUUCAAUUUGACCUUGUUUAGGAACCUUCAUUUCUCCAACUUGACACACAAUCCUUGUGGAAACAGAGUAGAAUUCCUCCUUGAAAACACAUUCCUUGUCUGCCACCGUUAUAUUUUUUACAUCUUCUGCUUUUAUUCCCAAAUUAGAUCCCAUUAUGGUCAAAAGAAUUCCACCAUCCAGUGGUCCAGUCUUUGGCUCAAUGCGAGUGAUUUCUGGAUGAGGACACGUGUUGGUGGGAGGAGCACGACACAGCUUCUCAUACACACACUUGCUUGGCUUGCCAUCCUCUUCACACCAGACACACUUAUAGUCUUCAUGGGCGGCAAGACACAAACUGCAAUCACUUCUUCCAUAGGAGCAAUUGUACAGAGUCACCAUCAGUUUGCUGUCAAUCUUAACCUUCCCCGUUCUCAUGGAUAAUUUAAGUUUUAAGGUUUCAUUUGCACUAUAGGAGAACUCUUUAGUCGUGAAUGAAAAUCUUCCUUCAUCUGCUGCCUCAACAGAAGCUUCAAAUUCAAAUUGGCUGUUUCCAACCAUAAAUUUUUCAUCCUGAUAAUAAGCUAGAUGUCUUCCCUCAAAAUGCACUGUUGUUCGGUACUCCAUAGGUAUUAUUGAUGGGUUAGGGUUUAGAAACUGUGGGCAUUCUUCUUCCAUAUUUUGUUUGAUCACAUCCUGUGCUGAAGAAGAUUCUUCACAGAUAUGUUUCUUCCAGUCCCACUGGCAAUUCCAUCUAUUGCUUGCACAAGAAUAGCAUGGCUGGUUUUCAUAAAGAUUCAUUGCUUCUUCACAGUCAUAAAAAGGGUAAGUAUGUGAUGCAAAAAAUAUCUUGUUCUCUCCAAAGGUUAACUGUAAUGGAACUGAAACGUGAUCUUGACCUUUCGGUGUUGGCGGAAUCAUAUCAGGUGGGUCACAGAUAAUAACUCCUUCAUUUAAUUGAGCACGAUGGCUUGUUUCACCAAAGGUACACCAAAGUUUGUCACUGGUGCUCAAAGUUGGCAGUGGACUUACUGUGAGUUUCACCUUAGCAGGGGCUCUACGACUCAUGUUUUGAGGGUCUGCACUGAUGAUAGUCAUACAUGUGCCACUUGGACUCCAGAGCCAGUCGUUCUCCUUAUCAGCCAUUUCACAGUCUGCCCUCUUUGUGCACCUGCCCUCCCGCACACACCAGCCGCAGUACGGGUCCUGAGCCUGCGUGCACUUCUCACAGUCUGAAUACUUGUGGCACUGCUGUACGGGAAGGCGAUGCACCUUGUCUGUGGUCAUCACAUAUAGAUAUUCUUGGGUUUUGUCAAGGACCAGAUCAUUCUUUAUGGGUUUAUUUAGUUCAAUAGUCAGAGAGCUGUACUCGAUUACAGUGGAUGACAGGAACACCUUAAGAAUUUUUCCAUCCGAAGUCCCCAGAAAGGCCACGGUGUGCCCAUUCUCCACAGUCACUGUAACAGCCGUGAGAUUCAUCCCUUCUUUUUGUAAUACUGGCUUCUCUAUAACACCAUUUUUACUUCCCAAGAGGUAUGGUAAGUGUUCAGAGCCACAGGGGAAAUUUUUGCUUGCAUUCUGUCCAUGUUGUCCACAUGGGUUUUCUACUGCAAAGAGUUUGUAAAACAUGCUGGUAUUCUUAUUUGUGUAGCAAUCAUCCCGG
RNAcentral lists this long non-coding RNA (4174 nucleotides) under Gallus gallus (chicken). The record is from RNAcentral. Lineage: Eukaryota; Metazoa; Chordata; Aves; Galliformes; Phasianidae.